UAAAGUAUAGCUUAGUGAUAGAGUGCUUGACUAGCAUAUGCAAGGUCCUGGGUUUGAUUCCUAGUGCUAUAA
This 72-nucleotide transfer RNA is filed under the name Ictidomys tridecemlineatus (thirteen-lined ground squirrel). RNAcentral's name for it is "Spermophilus tridecemlineatus (thirteen-lined ground squirrel) tRNA". It matches the Rfam family "tRNA". From Rfam's summary of the family: Transfer RNA (tRNA) molecules are approximately 80 nucleotides in length. Their secondary structure includes four short double-helical elements and three loops (D, anti-codon, and T loops). Lineage: Eukaryota; Metazoa; Chordata; Mammalia; Rodentia; Sciuridae. The record is from Rfam by way of RNAcentral.